GGGCCGGUAAGUCAACCCGGUAGACUGCGCCCAUGGCAUGGGCGAUGCUCAGGGUUCAAAUCCCUGUCGGUCCA
RNAcentral lists this transfer RNA (74 nucleotides) under Nanobdellota archaeon. Its description in RNAcentral is "tRNA-Ala". It matches the Rfam family "tRNA". From Rfam's summary of the family: Transfer RNA (tRNA) molecules are approximately 80 nucleotides in length. Their secondary structure includes four short double-helical elements and three loops (D, anti-codon, and T loops). The record is from RNAcentral. RNAcentral also lists the same sequence under 1 other name. Lineage: Archaea; Nanobdellati; Nanobdellota.